CGGCUUUCCUACAUCCCUGGAUUGUUGUGAGGGAAGAACUUCUCACAUAUUAAUCAAUCAAUCAAUGAGCAAGCAUUUAUUAAGCAAUUCAUCUGGCAAGCACUGUGCUGAAUGUGGAGGAUACAAGACACAAAUAUCAAACAGCGGUAUCCUUUGGGGAGAAGCAGUAACAACUGGGGUGAUCAGGGAGGGUCACGUGUUGAAGGUGACAUAGAUUCCUUGAAGUGUGAGCAAGACAUGGUGGCCGCCAUUGAGAAUUAGACCUUUGUGAAUGAGAGACAUUUCCACACGCCACAAAGGUAACUGACUUUUUCCAUUUCCAGUGAUGUGAAACUUCCUUCUUAAUGUGUCCUGGACAGGUUAGAUG
Molecule: long non-coding RNA, 367 nt
Filed under: Phascolarctos cinereus (koala)
Lineage: Eukaryota; Metazoa; Chordata; Mammalia; Diprotodontia; Phascolarctidae
Description: lncRNA (ENSPCIG00000031679.1)
Source: RNAcentral